Molecule: ribosomal RNA, 578 nt
Filed under: uncultured bacterium
Lineage: Bacteria
Description: bacterial SSU rRNA
Rfam family: Bacterial small subunit ribosomal RNA
Source: RNAcentral
UCCUACGGGAGGCAGCAGCUAAGAAUCUUCCGCAAUGGGCGAAACCCUGACGCAGCGACGCCGCGUGAGUGAGGAAGGCCUUCGGGUCGUAAAGCUCUGUCAAAGGGGAAGAAGUGCAUGGUGGUUAAUAUCUGUCAUGUUUGACGGUACCCUUAAAGGAAGCACCGGCUAACUCCGUGCCAGCAGCCGCGGUAAUACGGAGGGUGCAAGCGUUGUUCGGAAUCACUGGGCGUAAAGGGCGCGCAGGCGGUUUGAAUAGUCAGAUGUGAAAGCCCACGGCUUAACCGUGGAAGUGCAUUUGAAACUGUCAGACUUGAGUACCAGAGGGGAAAGUGGAAUUCCCGGUGUAGAGGUGAAAUUCGUAGAUAUCGGGAGGAAUACCGGUGGCGAAGGCGACUUUCUGGCUGAGUACUGACGCUGAGGCGCGAAAGCGUGGGGAGCAAACAGGAUUAGAUACCCUGGUAGUCCACGCCGUAAACGAUGUCACUAGAUGUAGGGGGUGUUGAUCCCUUCUGUGUCGCAGCUAACGCAUUAAGGUUGACCGCCUGGGGAGUACGGUCGCAAGAUUAAAACUCAGA